Molecule: ribosomal RNA, 488 nt
Filed under: uncultured bacterium
Lineage: Bacteria
Description: bacterial SSU rRNA
Rfam family: Bacterial small subunit ribosomal RNA
Source: RNAcentral
GAUGAACGCUAGCGAUAGGCCUAACACAUGCAAGUCGAGGGGCAUCACAUGAAGUAGCAAUACGGAUGGUGGCGACCGGCGCACGGGUGAGUAACACGUAUGCAACCUGCCUUCAACAAGGGGAUAACCCGUUGAAAGACGGACUAAUACCCUAUAACACAGGGGUCCCGCAUGGGAAUAUUUGUUAAAGGACAACCGGUUGAAGAUGGGCAUGCGUUCCAUUAGCUAGUUGGCGGGUAACGGCCACCAAGGCAACGAUGGAUAGGGGAACUGAGAGGUUUAUCCCCCAACUGGUACUGACGACACGGACCAGACUCCUACGGGAGGCAGCAGUGAGGAAUAUUGGUCAAUGGACGCAAGUCUGAACCAGCCACGUCGCGUGAAGGAAGACGGCCCUACGGGUUGUAAACUUCUUUUAUACGGGAAUAAAGUGCCCCACGCGUGGGGUUUUGCAUGUACCGUAUGAAUAAGGAUCGGCUAACUCCGUG